This 1381-nucleotide ribosomal RNA is filed under the name uncultured bacterium. RNAcentral's name for it is "bacterial SSU rRNA". It matches the Rfam family "Bacterial small subunit ribosomal RNA", at positions 18 to 1394 of the family's 1533-position model. The record is from RNAcentral.
CCUGGCUCCGGAUGAACGCUAGCUACAGGCUUAACACAUGCAAGUCGAGGGGCAGCAUGGUCUUAGCUUGCUAAGGCCGAUGGCGACCGGCGCACGGGUGAGUAACACGUAUCCAACCUGCCGUCUACUCUUGGACAGCCUUCUGAAAGGAAGAUUAAUACAAGAUGGCAUCAUGAGUCCGCAUGUUCACAUGAUUAAAGGUAUUCCGGUAGACGAUGGGGAUGCGUUCCAUUAGAUAGUAGGCGGGGUAACGGCCCACCUAGUCUUCGAUGGAUAGGGGUUCUGAGAGGAAGGUCCCCCACAUUGGAACUGAGACACGGUCCAAACUCCUACGGGAGGCAGCAGUGAGGAAUAUUGGUCAAUGGGCGAGAGCCUGAACCAGCCAAGUAGCGUGAAGGAUGACUGCCCUAUGGGUUGUAAACUUCUUUUAUAAAGGAAUAAAGUCGGGUAUGGAUACCCGUUUGCAUGUACUUUAUGAAUAAGGAUCGGCUAACUCCGUGCCAGCAGCCGCGGUAAUACGGAGGAUCCGAGCGUUAUCCGGAUUUAUUGGGUUUAAAGGGAGCGUAGAUGGAUGUUUAAGUCAGUUGUGAAAGUUUGCGGCUCAACCGUAAAAUUGCAGUUGAUACUGGAUAUCUUGAGUGCAGUUGAGGCAGGCGGAAUUCGUGGUGUAGCGGUGAAAUGCUUAGAUAUCACGAAGAACUCCGAUUGCGAAGGCAGCCUGCUAAGCUGCAACUGACAUUGAGGCUCGAAAGUGUGGGUAUCAAACAGGAUUAGAUACCCUGGUAGUCCACACGGUAAACGAUGAAUACUCGCUGUUUGCGAUAUACUGCAAGCGGCCAAGCGAAAGCGUUAAGUAUUCCACCUGGGGAGUACGCCGGCAACGGUGAAACUCAAAGGAAUUGACGGGGGCCCGCACAAGCGGAGGAACAUGUGGUUUAAUUCGAUGAUACGCGAGGAACCUUACCCGGGCUUAAAUUGCAGAUGAAUUACGGUGAAAGCCGUAAGCCGCAAGGCAUCUGUGAAGGUGCUGCAUGGUUGUCGUCAGCUCGUGCCGUGAGGUGUCGGCUUAAGUGCCAUAACGAGCGCAACCCUUGUUGUCAGUUACUAACAGGUUCCGCUGAGGACUCUGACAAGACUGCCAUCGUAAGAUGUGAGGAAGGUGGGGAUGACGUCAAAUCAGCACGGCCCUUACGUCCGGGGCUACACACGUGUUACAAUGGGGGGUACAGAGGGCCGCUACCACGCGAGUGGAUGCCAAUCCCCAAAACCUCUCUCAGUUCGGACUGGAGUCUGCAACCCGACUCCACGAAGCUGGAUUCGCUAGUAAUCGCGCAUCAGCCACGGCGCGGUGAAUACGUUCCCGGGCCUUGUACACACCGCC